RNAcentral lists this long non-coding RNA (958 nucleotides) under Capsella grandiflora. RNAcentral's name for it is "long non-coding RNA (CGRA_LNC000446)". The record is from RNAcentral. Lineage: Eukaryota; Viridiplantae; Streptophyta; Magnoliopsida; Brassicales; Brassicaceae.
CCGGAGAAUGAUUCUGAAAGGGUUGUUGAAAUGGGAGAAGAAUAUAAAAAUUCUCAUGCUGCUUCUACUUCGUCGAGUUGUCAGAUUGAUCUCUGGAAAUAGUGAUAAAGGUGAAGAAGAUGCAAGAAUGAAUAUAUAUGAAAAUUUAGAUAUGCACACUAGUGCGGUGUAGAGGAUGGUGGACACAGUUUUAUACUUAAAGGUGGAAGGGAAAAAACAAGGAGUUAUUUCCGCAUUUAUGGAGGUUUUGUACAUAAUAAAAACCUAUAAACCAUAUGGUACCAAAAUAUAUAGUAUUUUCUUUUGAUCACAUUAUUGAACUAUAUGUUAUACACGUACAUAUGUAUGUAUGUAUGUAUGUAUGUAUGGAUGUAUGUAUGUAUGAAUGUAUGCAUCUUAAUUUUAUAUAUAAAGCAUAUGAAUUUAUGAUUUAAAUGUGAGACCAAUUUUGUAUGAAGGUUGAAGGGAUACCUAAUUCUUAAUAAAACUUAUACUUAAUUAGUUAUGUUAUUUACUCACUUGAUUCAUAUUAAUAUGUCGCCUCAUUUUUUUUUGUUUCUUUGGUUCUUCUCUCAUAAUUAUUUGCUUAUAAAUUUUCUUAAAUCUAUUAAAAAUCCGUUUACUAUUUAAUUGUUCAAAAUCCAAAUUAAUUAAACAUAUAUAACUUGCUUACUAAUUUUAUUAGACAUAGCCAUAUAUCGUUCUUAUUACUUAAUUUAAAGGAAAAAAAUUACCAAAAUAAACUUUAAAGAAAACAAACAAGAACAUAGUAGAACAACAAAUGUUCCAAAAAUCGUCAUAAAUAAAUUACCAAUUGAAUUUAAUUUGGAUUGACUUUGACUUACAUGAUUUAAGUUGUCUUUGAUCAUGAAGACAAGUUGCAAGAAACUUGAAGAGUUAGUAAGUGAAACCCAGAGAAAAGAAUGUGAAAGAGAGAAGUAAAUAUGGCAUAUAGAAC